RNAcentral lists this ribosomal RNA (492 nucleotides) under uncultured bacterium. RNAcentral describes it as "bacterial SSU rRNA". It matches the Rfam family "Bacterial small subunit ribosomal RNA", at positions 26 to 518 of the family's 1533-position model. The record is from RNAcentral.
GAUCAGUGGCUACGAGGACGAACGCUGGGCGGCGUGCCUAACACAUGCAAGUCGAACGGAGUCAGAAAGCUGCUUUUGACUUAGUGGCGGACGGGUGAGUAACGCGUGAGUAACCUGCCUCUGAGAGGGGAAUAACGUUCUGAAAAGAACGCUAAUACCGCAUAACGUAUUGAAGCCGCAUGACUUUGAUACCAAAGAUUUUAUCGCUCGGAGAUGGACUCGCGUCCGAUUAGUUAGUUGGUGAGGUAACGGCUCACCAAGACCGCGAUCGGUAGCCGGACUGAGAGGUUGAUCGGCCACAUUGGGACUGAGACACGGCCCAGACUCCUACGGGAGGCAGCAGGUGGGGGAUAUUGCGCAAUGGGGGCAACCCUGACGCCAGCAACGCCGCGUGAAGGAUGAAGGUUUUCGGAUUGUAAACUUCUUUUAUCAGGGACGAAAUCUGACGGUACCUGAUGAAUAAGCUCCGGCUAACUACGUGCCAGCCGCAGC